GAGUUUGAUCGUGGCUCAGAUUGAACGCUGGCGGCAUGCCUUACACAUGCAAGUCGAACGGCAGCAUGAUCUAGCUUGCUAGAUUGAUGGCGAGUGGCGAACGGGUGAGUAAUACAUCGGAACGUGCCCUGUAGUGGGGGAUAACUAGUCGAAAGAUUAGCUAAUACCGCAUACGACCUGAGGGUGAAAGUGGGGGACCGCAAGGCCUCAUGCUAUAGGAGCGGCCGAUGUCUGAUUAGCUAGUUGGUGGGGUAAAGGCCCACCAAGGCGACGAUCAGUAGCUGGUCUGAGAGGACGAUCAGCCACACUGGGACUGAGACACGGCCCAGACUCCUACGGGAGGCAGCAGUGGGGAAUUUUGGACAAUGGGCGAAAGCCUGAUCCAGCAAUGCCGCGUGUGUGAAGAAGGCCUCGGUUGG
RNAcentral lists this ribosomal RNA (419 nucleotides) under uncultured microorganism. RNAcentral describes it as "bacterial SSU rRNA". It matches the Rfam family "Bacterial small subunit ribosomal RNA", at positions 9 to 426 of the family's 1533-position model. The record is from RNAcentral.